GACGAACGCUGGCGGCGUGCUUUACACAUGCAAGUCGAACGGAAAGGCCCUGCUUUUGUGGGGUGCUCGAGUGGCGAACGGGUGAGUAACACGUGAGUAACCUGCCCUUGACUUUGGGAUAACUUCAGUAAACUGGGGCUAAUACCGGAUAGGAGCUCCUGCUGCAUGGUGGGGGUUGGAAAGUUUCGGCGGUUGGGGAUGGACUCGCGGCUUAUCAGCUUGUUGGUGGGGUAGUGGCUUACCAAGGCUUUGACGGGUAGCCGGCCUGAGAGGGUGACCGGCCAAAUUGGGACUGAGAUACGGCCCAGACUCCUACGGGAGGCAGAAGUGGGGAAUAUUGCACAAUGGGCGGAAGCCUGAUGCAGCAACGCCGCGUGCGGGAUGACGGCCUUCGGGUUGUAAACCGCUUUCGCCUGUGACGAAGCGUGAGUGACGGUAAUGGGUAAAGAAGCACCGGCUAACUACGUG
RNAcentral lists this ribosomal RNA (468 nucleotides) under uncultured bacterium. Its description in RNAcentral is "partial 16S ribosomal RNA". It matches the Rfam family "Bacterial small subunit ribosomal RNA", at positions 28 to 507 of the family's 1533-position model. The record is from RNAcentral.